This 720-nucleotide ribosomal RNA is filed under the name Triticum aestivum (bread wheat). RNAcentral describes it as "partial small subunit ribosomal RNA". Lineage: Eukaryota; Viridiplantae; Streptophyta; Magnoliopsida; Poales; Poaceae. The record is from RNAcentral.
AUGGGAGAACUUGAGAUUUUUGAGACGCUAGUGGGAGUUGACUGCCACACCUUCAUCGUGACAUGGAGAAAUAAUCGGAAAUUUCAGUUCAGCGUGAAUUAUCGAGCUGAAAACUCUGAGAAUACGAUAGACUGCAGUUGUGGACGAAUGCUUCGGAAAGGAUUGCCUUGCAAACACAUUCUGUAUGUGUUGGUUCAUCUUAAAAAAUCUAAAAUACCUAAGUGUUGCAUUCUUAAGAGGAUGUCGAAAGUUGCGAGAGGUGGGCUGCCUGCACAGCGAAAGAGUGACUUGUUUGGCUGGGGUUGGACAGGGGCAGAUGAGCGUGCUCGCUAUAGUCAACUUAGUAUAACAGGAGCUGAAGCUUUUCAUGUUGCUUCAAAUGAUCCAUUCGUCUAUGAUGAGUUGAUGCAGUGUCUGCAGAAUAUAAUAGCGAAGAAAAAGGUCCCUGAUGAUGAUGCUGUUGGUAGUACAAGAAAUGUGCAUGAGGAUCCACGUCAGCUGGAACAACAUGUUGAUGUCAUAGGUGAUCCCGUGAAAGUUUCCACGAAGGGCGCCCCUAAACAGAGCAGGACAGGGCGGGCAAAGAAAGAUCCAAAUGUUACAAAGAAUGGAAGACCAAAAUCAUUUUCUGAGAAAAAACCUGGUCUUCUUUGUGGCAUUUGUAAGAAAGAGGGCCAUAGACGGCAAACAUGCUCUGAGAAUGAAAAGAACCGGGCAUAA